UAGUAAAGUAAAAAAUACUAAGAGUAAAGAAUGGAUAAGAAUAAAGUGUAGAAGCAAUUAAUCUACUUAUAUGAGUUGCAUGAUUUACAUAUUGCAUGUUGUGAGGCAAAAGCAUGGUAAUGUUAGUUGCAUGAUUUAUGAUUUUAUGUCUAUCUAUUGGACUAACAUGUUGUUUGCCUCCUUUGGACCUGAUGGUCGAGCUCUUCCCUUGGGUGGCCGUACCCACUGGGAACCAUGGAGUUGGUUCUCACCCCACGUUGUUUUGGGGUGUUACAGGUUCACACGUGAGCGGCGCGGCGGCGCGAGGCAAGGGCGUAGCUCCGUAGUUAGCGCCCUACCACUGAGACCAGAUAGCAGCACCCUGAGUCGACUUCUUAGAGGUAUAAAAUGCAAAGAAGCAAGAGUGUGAUAAUUGUAAGAACAAUAUUGUAAUAACUAUGUUAAAACUAAAUUGUAUUUGGAAGUAAGAAUCAAGGAAUCAAAUGUGAUGUAAUCUAAGAAUGCAAAAAUGUAAUAUGUGAGAUGAAUGCUUGUAAUAGCAAGUAGAU
Molecule: long non-coding RNA, 548 nt
Filed under: Ananas comosus (pineapple)
Lineage: Eukaryota; Viridiplantae; Streptophyta; Magnoliopsida; Poales; Bromeliaceae
Description: long non-coding RNA (ACOM_LNC042408)
Source: RNAcentral